Molecule: long non-coding RNA, 1122 nt
Filed under: Nicotiana benthamiana
Lineage: Eukaryota; Viridiplantae; Streptophyta; Magnoliopsida; Solanales; Solanaceae
Description: long non-coding RNA (NBEN_LNC040405)
Source: RNAcentral
UCUCUACAUUUCCUAAACUCUUUCCUUCUCAUUCUAAAUAUUACUCUCCUUCUCCAACACAUAUCACCCUUUCUUUGUGUAUAAAUUUAGAGACUUGACCUCAUUUCAAAAUCCGAAAUCUUCUCCUCUCUUUUCUACAUUAUUGCAUUAUUUUCUAAAUAAACAUACGUGUCAAAUGUGAUUUGCUCUGUUUGUUGAGAUCUUUGAAGUUCUGUGAUUUGAAGUGCCGCUAUCAUAGAAUAGUUAUUCCGUUCUAUCUUGGGAGGAAUUAAUCUGUGUACCUUGGGCAACAGUAAAGAGAUUAAAUUCCUUAAGGACACAUUGUGCAUGCAGUGGGCUCGGAAUUAUUUUACGAUUUUAUUUAUUGAACUAACGACGUGUUUGCUUCUCUGAUUUUGAAUACAACAAUACCAACAAUCUUAAGGAAUUUAAUAGAAUUGUUUUUAAAUUGAUGAUAGAUAGAUAAUUCAGAAUGUUAGUCUGAUUGAAGAAAAGUGAUGAAUUAUUUCGGAUGAUCUUAGGCAAUCUGUUGGAUUCAUAUUCAUCGGAAUGAUCUUUUGUUAAGAUGAAGGAAGUAUCACGACCUAUUCAAUUUAGUUUUAAUGUGAAGAAAGAAUUGGGAAGUGAACAGGAAAAGAAAUUUAGUCUAUUCUUCGCUUUUGUCUUUCGAUUAAUUCUUGCAACUAAUCGUCGAAGAAGAAUUAAGAAUAACUGAACAACCAAAAUAGUGCACUGUUUGUGAGAAAUAGUGUCUCACAAAAGUUGUUGAAUCUUUCACCAGAGUAAAUGUAGGAGAACAAUUUAACGGUAUAAGACAUUUAAAUGUAAGAAGGAAAGAGAUUUUGUUUAGUUGAUAAAUGAAGAAAUGGAGGUAGUUUGGAAGGUUUAAUAUAUCUAGCUAUAUGGAGAGAGAAUAGUUGAUAAAUGAAGAAAUGGAGGUAGUUUGGAAGGUUUAAUAUAUAUAGCUAUAUGGAGAGAGAAUUUUGUAAUUCUUCAACUUUUAUUACACAAGGGAUCACUUUGGUACACACUUGGGCUCACACUUUUUUUGUACAUUCUACAAAUGAGGAGGUCUUUCCCCUAUUUAUAGGCAUCAACCUCCAUGUUCUACGACAUUCUAGA